RNAcentral lists this ribosomal RNA (2453 nucleotides) under Gardnerella vaginalis. Its description in RNAcentral is "bacterial LSU rRNA". It matches the Rfam family "Bacterial large subunit ribosomal RNA", at positions 586 to 2925 of the family's 2925-position model. Lineage: Bacteria; Bacillati; Actinomycetota; Actinomycetes; Bifidobacteriales; Bifidobacteriaceae. The record is from RNAcentral.
UUGUGGGGUGACGGCGUGCCUAUCGAAAAAUGAGUCUGCGAGUCAGUGGUAUGUGGCGAGGCUAACCCGGGUGGGGGAGCCGUAGCGAAAGCGAGUUUUAAAAGGCGUUUUAGUCGCAUGUCCUGGACCCGAAGCGGGAUGAUCUAGCCCUGAGCAGGUUGAAGCGCGGGUAAGACCGUGUGGAGGACCGAACCCACCUAGGUUGAAAACUGGGGGGAUGACUUGGGGUUAGGGGUGAAAGGCCAAUCAAAUUCCGUGAUAGCUGGUUCUCUCCGAAAUGCAUUUAGGUGCAGCGUCAUGUUAUUGCUUGCAGGGGGUAGAGCUACUGGAUGCUUGCGGGCCCAUACCGGGUACUAAUAGCAGCCAAACUCCGAAUACCUGUUAGGUUUAUCAUGGCAGUGAGUCGGCGGGGGAUAAGCUCCGUCGUCAAAAGGGAAACAGCCCUGAUCGUCGUCUAAGGUCCCGAAGCGCGUGCUAAGUGGGAAAGGAUGUGGAGUCGCAUAGACAGCCAGGAGGUUGGCUCAGAAGCAGCCAUCCUUGAAAGAGUGCGUAACAGCUCACUGGUCUAGUGGUUCCGCGCCGACAAUGUAGCGGGGCUUAAGCACGCCACCGAAGACGCGACUGCAUGAUUUAGUUCAUGUGGGGUAGGAGAGCGUCCUGUAUGGGGUGAAGCGGCAGUGUGAACUUGUCGUGGACUAUACGGGAGUGAGAAUGCAGACAUGAGUAGCGAGAGACAGGUGUGAAUCCUGUCCGCUGAAUGACUAAGGGUUCCGGGGCCACGUUCGUCGUCCCCGGGUGAGUCGAGUCCUAAGGCGAGGCCGACAGGCGUAGUCGAAUGGAUGAACGGGUUGAUAUUCCCGUACCGGUGUUACACCGUUCGAACUGAAUCUGAGAGUACUAACCUUCGUUAUUCUGGUUGAUUAUCUUUCGGGGUUUUCUUCUGGUUUAGUGUUGGGAGCGUAUCGGUAGUAGGUUAGCGUGGGAGUGACGCGGGUAGGUAGCCGGCUGCGGAGGUGGUUUUCCGUGGCUAAGCGUGUGGGCUGUCCUCUAGGUAAAUCCGGGGGAUGUUUAAGCUGAGGCGUGAUGGGUAGGCUGUAAGGCUGAUUCCGGUGAUCCUGCUUGCCGAGAAAAGCUUCAACGUGAGGUGUGAUUCCGCUCGUACCCUAAACCGACACUGGUGGUCUGGUAGAGUAUACCAAAGCGAUCGGGCGAAUCCUGGCCAAGGAACUCGGCAAAUUACUCCCGUGCCUUCGGCAUAAGGGAGACCCCUGAUGGUGAUGUUUUUUACAAGCGGAGCUGUUGGGGGUGGCACAAGCUAGGGGGUAGCGACUGUUUACCAAAAACACAGGAGCGUGCGAAGGCGUAAGCCGCUGUAUACGCUCUGACGCCUGCCCGGUGCCGGAAGGUUAAGAGGAUCCGUUAGCUUCGGUGAAGCGGUGAAUUUAAGCCCCGGUAAACGGCGGUGGUAACUAUAACCAUCCUAAGGUAGCGAAAUUCCUUGUCGGGUAAGUUCCGACCUGCACGAAUGGCGUAACGACUUCCCCACUGUCUCGGCCAGGAGCCCGGCGAAAUUGCAGUACGAGUAAAGAUGCUCGUUAAGCGCAGAAGGACGAAAAGACCCCGGGACCUUUACUAUACCUUGGUAUUGUCGUUAGGUGUGGAUCGUGUAGCAUAGGCGGGAGGCUGUGAAGCGUGGGCGCUAGCUUGCGUGGAGUCGAUCAGUGAAAUACCGCUCUUUCCAUAUCUGGCGUCUAACCUCGACACGUUAUCCGUGUUAGGGACAGUGCCUGGCGGGUAGUUUAACUGGGGCGGUUGCCUCCUAAAGAGUAACGGAGGCGCUCAAUGGUCCGCUCAGCCCGGUUGGCAAUCGGGUGUUGAGUGUAAUCGCACAAGCGGGCUUGACUGUGAGACUGACGGGUCGAGCAGGGACGAAAGUCGGAGAUAGUGAUCCGGUGCCGGCGUACGGACGUGGCAUCGCUCAACGGAUAAAAGGUACCCCGGGGAUAACAGGCUGAUCAUUCCCAAGAGUCCAUAUCGACGGGAUGGUUUGGCACCUCGAUGUCGGCUCGUCGCAUCCUGGGGCUGGAGCAGGUCCCAAGGGUUCGGCUGUUCGCCGAUUAAAGCGGCACGCGAGCUGGGUUCAGAACGUCGUGAGACAGUUUGGUCUCUAUCCUCUGCGCUCGUUGGAAUGUUGAGGAGACCUGCCCAUAGUACGAGAGGACCUGGGUGGACGAACCUCUGGUAUGCCGGUCGUCACGCCAGUGGCGCUGCCGGUUAGCUACGUUUGGAAGGGAUAACCGCUGAAAGCAUCUAAGCGGGAAGCCUGCUCCAAGAUUAGCAUUCCUUGCACUUUGUGUGUGAGCCCCCAUGUAGAACACGUGGUUGAUAGGCUGGAUGUGGAAGCCCUGUAAGGGGUGGAGCUGACCAGUACUAAUGGGCGAUUGUGAUACUAC